This 495-nucleotide ribosomal RNA is filed under the name uncultured bacterium. RNAcentral's name for it is "partial 16S ribosomal RNA". It matches the Rfam family "Bacterial small subunit ribosomal RNA", at positions 28 to 507 of the family's 1533-position model. The record is from RNAcentral.
GACGAACGCUGGCGGCGUGCCUAAUACAUGCAAGUAGAACGCUGAAGGAGGAGCUUGCUCUUCUGGAUGAGUUGCGAACGGGUGAGUAACGCGUAGGUAACCUGCCUGGUAGCGGGGGAUAACUAUUGGAAACGAUAGCUAAUACCGCAUAACAGUAGAUGUUGCAUGACAUUUACUUAAAAGGUGCAAUUGCAUCACUACCAGAGGGACCUGCGUUGUAUUAGCUAGUUGGUGGGGUAACGGCUCACCAAGGCGACGAUACAUAGCCGACCUGAGAGGGUGAUCGGCCACCCUGGGACUGAGUCACGGCCCCGACUCCUACGGGAGGCAGCAGUAGGGAAUCUUCGGCAAUGGACGGAAGUCUGACCGAGCAACGCCGCGUGAGUGAAGAAGGUUUUCGGAUCGUAAAGCUCUGUUGUAAGAGAAGAACGAGUGUGAGAGUGGAAAGUUCACACUGUGACGGUAUCUUACCAGAAAGGGACGGCUAACUACGUG